Molecule: long non-coding RNA, 4393 nt
Organism: Canis lupus familiaris (dog)
Lineage: Eukaryota; Metazoa; Chordata; Mammalia; Carnivora; Canidae
Exons: 3
Source: RefSeq, a predicted model, not a curated record
CACACGCAGUUGGAGGCACUUGCGCUCUGGAAUUGGCUCUCAGCGCCCGAACUAACCCACUCUCCCCAGUGCCCCAGUGUAUAAAGUGUAGGUGCUCACACAGCAACAGGUCACAGCCCCCAGGAACACUCGCUGGCAGGCCCAUCCACCACCAACUCGGCGCCAGCCCUGGGCUGGGAGACGUCACCCCAAGCAUUAGGUCCGCAGUUCCCCGCAGCCUCCUGGGCCCCCUUGUGCUCCUGAUAAGGGAGUGGGAGAGCUCUGUCCUGUCAGCGUGAUGGCAUGUCCUGGGACAGUGGCUGGGAAGGUGGACUGCAGGUGGGCCAGCUACAGACACACCAGGCAACAGGACCUGGAGACCCUGCUGGCCUUUGAGAGGGCUGAUAUCAUAGCCAAAUACCAUCAGCUGAGGGUCAGAAAAGGACCAUAGAUGCUAGAGCACCCACUAGAGGUGGGGACCACACCUGCAAGAGCAGGUGAGGCCCAAGAUGGGAUCAGAGCCAACCAUGAGCCAGGUCAGCCCAGACAAGGACCAUGGUCACCAGGAACAAGUGAGACCCUGGCGACGGACCCGCACAUCCAUAGAAGUGAGGGUCCAUCUUGGCACCUAGUGAUCCGUAGCCAAUGAGCCCAGGUGGGGACCAAGGUCACCAGGUCCAGGUGAGGCUCAGGUGGAGACCAGAGUCACCAGGUCAGGUCAGGCCCAGGUUGGGAUCAUCGCUGAUAGAAGCAUGUAAAGCUAUCAGGCUGCUCCCAUUGGGCAGAGGGGCCCUUCCCUCAUGCCCGGCCAAUCUCAGAGGGUCCUGAUCUGCCGCAGGAUUCAGGGGAGAGGAGCCAUUCUGCUCCCUCCUUUCCCCAUGUCCCUGGCGCUGAUCCAUCCCCACCAUGGGGUCCCCUCUGUUUCAGCAUGACAAGUACUGUCUCCACAGGACCUUGGGAUGAUGCUCCCCAAUCAUUGUUGAAGGUCACGGACAAUCAGAGCUUUCUGCAGUGAGUUCCCCGGACACCCCUUCGUCCAUCUCAGGAGGCAAUUUUUACUUGCAGGAACCACUCUCUGGAGGCUGGCCCAUCCCCCUGGGUCAGGACCUCGUCCCCUGGAGUCCUCUGAGGGCCAUGUGUACCCUGGACUGGAGCUGAGAGAAUCAGGAGGCAAACCCAAGAAAUGGGUACAAGGGAGCUGGGUCGGGGGCUGGCCCUGGGCACUCAGAGUGGCCCCCACUCCUGCUUUGGGGAGGGCCAGGUGUCUGCGUCCAGUUUGGGAGUUGGGAUAUCUCUUGUCCUUCAGCAAGGGCUCCAAAUGUGAGGCGCUCUGGGACAAUGGCCUGCUUUCUAUAGGAGGAUGGCCUGGUCUGGGGCCAGUAAGGGAGGGGGGAUGCUCCUCACUCACACCCCCAGGCCAGGGCCUCCACAGUCUGAAGGCUUCUGCAAGGUUGCAGGUAAAGGCCGGGGACAAAGCAAGGUCAGGGAGGGAAGGUGAGCAGCAGAGGAAGGGACUGACCAGCUUGGGCAGGAAGAGGGAAGAGGAGGUAGAGGAGGCCACCAUGGGUCGGGAACGAGGGAAGGAUGACAGCCCAGUGGCCUUGGUCUGAGGGGAGGAGGCUGCUGUGUCGUGGGCCCCAUAGGAACCUCACACAGCCUGGAGACUCCAUGUGGGGCCAACGGGGCUGCCCCCGGCCCCCUCAGCUCUGCUCUCUGCCCAGUGCCUGCUUGGAUGGGUCAGGGGUGGGUCAUGCUCAGGGCUCUGACAAUAGGUACAAUGGGUCAGAGUAGCAGAGAUGACAGCAAGAGGAGUGGAGUCAGUGGACAGCAGGUAGGAUGGCCAGGGUGCAGGGGGAGGCCGGCUGGAUGCCGGGCAGUCAGACCCUGGGAAAACAGGGGGGCCUCUGCUGAACAGUCCCUGUGCAGCAUCUUCCCACUCCUGGGUGCCCGAAUCCUGAAUCUACAACCCCAGCAAUUACCGUGCACACCCAUCACCCUCCGCGUGGCCAACACUCGCUGCCCCUGGGUGCUGGGGACUGGCCUUCCCCCUCAGUGGCCACUGCAGGAAGGAGGAUGCUGGGUCAGGCGGGCCUGGUCCUCAGCUCAGGGUUCCCACCUUGCAGGGUCUCUGUGAGGACGAGGGUCCCUGGACCCUGCCACACCUAGCCAGAACGGCAGUCCUGCUCUCUGGAAAGACGAGGUCCAUUCAGGGCUUAGAACGCUCUGGGCACACUGGGGUCAGGGCGUAGGGGAGGAGGCCCCUGCCAGGAAGCCCCCCCCUCGCCCGCCUGGUGCAUGAGGAGACCCUGAUCUUUGAGGGUAUGGGGCCUUCUCAGGCUUCUUCAUUCCAGGGUUCCGCAAACCACUGAGGUUCUAGUCCCAUCAGGAGCCCAUUCUAGACAUAGCUCACCCCAAGCUGAAAAAGCUCAUGGCGAUUAGAUACUCCCCAGAGGCUCCAUCCCCUUGGCCCUGGGCAACGGGUGCCAGCACAGCCCAUCUGAGCUGCCCCAAGCUUGGUGUCAAGUUCCUCCUCCUGGGGAGCCUGAGGCACCCUGGAGGCUGGGCGGGGCCAUGGGGAGUGUGUCCACCUGGCUCCACGGGGACGCAGCCUGGGGCCUGAGCACCUCCUGCCCUUCUGCCAGGAUGAGGAACAGAUUUUUCCUGGCAUUUACACCCCCAAGCAGUUCCUUCAGUUUUUCAUCAGUCAGGUAAGGCCACCCCAGGACCCCUGUUCCCUCAUCCUGUCCCCUAACCCCGUGGGGGCCGAGCUCAGCCCUACCCUCCAGACAAGCCAGGCCCAACCCUGGGGACCUAAGGCUGAGGCUGGCAGCCCAUCCCAUCUGGAGAAGUCCAGAGGGUCCCUGGGGGAGGUUCCAGGGGACAGGCUGUCUCUGCCUCAGAUUCCCCAGGGAGGCCUGGUCAGCUGCUGCAGGAGGGAAGCUCCACAGAGCCUAUGGAUUCACACCUGUGUCCUGGAACACUGUGGGCUCUGCUUCUGCCCAGCUGCCUACAUCUCAGAACCCCUCGCUGGCCUGGAUGCCCCACAGGGAACUCCCUCCUCAUGCUCCCAGGGAACCAGGAGAAUGCAGACAGGUGGCACCCGAACACGGAUCUGAAGUCAGAACACUGGGUCCCCUUCCCUUUGUCACCAGCCUGGGCCACACUACAGGCCACACAGCAAACCAGACAAUAGAAUCCCCCUGGGACGCCCGUCACAGGGUCUUCGAAGCCCACUAAGAUGACACUGUAGGGAUCCAGAUACCCUUCCUGCCCUGGGACCACAGCAGCUCAAGCCGCUCACUGGGGAGUGAUAGGCAGGGCCCGGGCAGAGCCAGGGCAGUGCCGAACUCCAUACCCCAAGGCCCCACAGAGUCCUGGGACCAUCUGACCUCUGCCUCCACAGGGAAGCCUCCUGCUCCUGGGCCUCUGGAUCAGAGCGUGAUGGGGAGGAUGUGGGCCCUGAGGCUCUGGCCAGCAGACACCAUGCCCUGCCUCGUCUCACAUACCUUUAUACAAGGUGCCCCCCCAAUAGGAAGAGUCCCUGACCCCGAGGGACCUAGGCUGGCCUCUUCCCGGGCUCUGGGGAGGCAGGGUGGACAUGACCCCACCCAGGCUCAGAACACAGACUGAUGGGUUGAGCCCCCGGUGGCCCUAACCAGUUCUGGAUUCUCCCCUAAGGAUGAGCAACCCUCUCAGAGCAGGAAGUGGCCUCCUGGGUCCUGGAUGUGCCCCACAGAUCCAGGUCACUGACCUAGGACAAUGCUGGGAAUUUCAGGACACCCCAGGACAGGGGCAGCAGGGGCAGGCCAGUGGGCCACACCCUCACCCACACUAGAAGGCAGGCUCCUCCACAUACUGGGUCUCCAGCAGUCAUUCACCUGGCACAGUGGGCCAGAGGCUGGGAUCCAGCUGACCUGCAGGGACUCAGCACAGGGACUCCUAAGCUGCAGGGACCCCUAAGCUGCAGGUCCAGGUCAGGUCUGCUGUCCUCAGAACUGCCUCUCAGGCCCCAACUUCGGGAAAUGUGCCCACACUUGGAGUCUGCCCAGGCUCCAAGCUGCGGGACUCUAGCACCUGCACCCCCAGGUGAGUUCGGGUUUCCCCUAAAAGACAGGAUGGUCCCCCUCCCCCAGAGAAGGUGCACACCCUAAGUUCAGAGCCCCUGUUUGUUAUGAAAGUUCAAUAAAGUGUUGAGAGUUAAAAUGCAUGGCCAGCCCAUUUCUGUGUCUCCCAGAGCUCUGUGCAAGCAGCGGGGACAGAACCCCAGAAAGGAGGAGGGGGCCUUACACAGGCCACUAUCAGCCUCUGCACAGUUGCUGCCAGGCACACAAAGCUGACCUGCCCCCGUGCCUUCCAAGGUCCGCCAAUGCCAGGGGAAGGCCAAACACAUGCUUAUUGGGACUCAGCCCAUGCC